This 899-nucleotide small RNA is filed under the name Pongo abelii (Sumatran orangutan). RNAcentral's name for it is "retained intron". The record is from RNAcentral. Lineage: Eukaryota; Metazoa; Chordata; Mammalia; Primates; Hominidae.
GAAAGGAUCCGAUGGGGCCAGCCCCCCUGCAAGCCCCAGUAUCAUCCCCCGGCUGAGGGCCAUUCGCCUGACUCCCGUGGACUGUGGUGGCAGCAGCAGUGGCAGCAGCAGUGGAGGAAGUGGGACAUGGAGCCGCGGUGGGCCCCCAAAGAAGGAAGAACUGGUCGGGGGCAAGAAGAAGGGCCGAACGUGGGGGCCCAGCUCCACCCUGCAGAAGGAGCGGGUGGGAGGAGAGGAGAGGCUGAAGGGGCUGGGGGAAGGAAGCAAACAGUGGUCAUCAAGUGCCCCCAACCUGGGCAAGUCCCCCAAACACACACCCAUCGCCCCUGGCUUCGCCAGCCUCAAUGAGAUGGGUAAGAGCCUGGGUUCUUGUAAGGGGGUGAGGGUUCUCAGGCCAAAGGGGUGAGCCUCCUGGGGCUGAGGGAAGAGACUAGGUUUCACUGGGCCAGUGAGUGGAAGGCCUUCCUGGGAAGGGAGAUGGUGGCCCCCUGGGCGUGGGGGGUCAUUUCCAGGGGCAGGGACCACCCUUCUCUGAGGCUUCUCCGGGAGACAGAUUCAAGAGCGAUGCUCGUGGGUCUUGGUCUUGCUGUUGGAGGGGUCAUCGGGGGCUGUCCCUUGGCACAAGUCCCCGUGGGGCCCUGGCCAGCCCUGCAGCGGAGUGAUGGCCCUCUCCGGUUGCAGAGGAGUUCGCGGAGGCAGAGGAUGGAGGCAGCAGCGUGCCCCCUUCCCCCUACUCGACCCCGUCCUACCUCUCAGUACCACUGCCUGCCGAGCCCUCCCCGGGGGCGCGGGCGCCAUGGGAGCCGACGCCGUCCGCGCCCCCCGCUCGGUGGGGACACGGCGCCCGGCGGCGCUGCGACCUGGCGCUGCUAGGCUGCGCCACGCUGCUGGGGGCUGUG